GAUAAUUUAAGUUUAUUGCCCUUCUGCUACUGAGAAGAAAAGCCUGAACAGGGUUAAUAGCCUUCCCCCAAGGCUACAUGAUCCAUUGUGAUACAGAGAGAAUGAGAGUUCAAAUUAAGGAUGACCCUCUAAAGGAAAACCUAUCCAAUCUGCCCUACACUCCAUUUGUACAUAUCAGCAGUUUGCAAAUUCUUCACCAGUUUCAUCAAGAAAACGGACAUGGAAUAAAAACUCCUCUGGAAGCUCAAAGCUCACUAAACUUUCUUCCUAAAAUAUACCACUGAUAGAGUUUCAAUCAAAAAAGCAAAAGUCAUCAAGGACCCUGGACAGCGCACGAUCCCAGGUGGACUUCCAGGAUGAAUUGGUGAUCAAGUCUCCUCUACUGGACUUGAGCAGGGGCUGCUGCUGUUGCUGUUGCUACUGCUGUUGCUUCUGCUUCUUCUGCUGCUGCUGCUUUCUCACUCCGGAGGCUGAAACGCUGUCAGAUUGGAGGGAUCUGUAUCUCAGCCCUAAAUAAAGCAUUCAUUUGGUU
Acinonyx jubatus (cheetah) is the source of this 532-nucleotide long non-coding RNA. RefSeq lists it as uncharacterized. The transcript is spliced from 3 exons. NCBI's taxonomy places the organism in Eukaryota, Metazoa, Chordata, Mammalia, Carnivora, Felidae. The record is from RefSeq and is a predicted model, not a curated record.